Molecule: long non-coding RNA, 682 nt
Filed under: Vulpes vulpes (red fox)
Lineage: Eukaryota; Metazoa; Chordata; Mammalia; Carnivora; Canidae
Description: lncRNA (ENSVVUG00000002240.1)
Source: RNAcentral
CCAGGAGCAAGGUCUGGCCUGAGCCCACGGGGCCGUGGACAUUUCCAGAAGCGAACUCUGCCCUAGGCAGCAGGAGCCAGUCUAAUUAGGGAUUAGCUGCCGUCACCGUCCUUCGUUCCUGUCUCCCACACGGCCGGUUCACGGAGCACGUUCACAGGGGGCCGCCCCAGAGACGCUAAGAGCACCUGCUCCAUCCUUCUUUGCAAAGAAAAUUACUAAGCGCCCAUUUACGGUGGCCUGGACAGGUGCACCGGAGAGCGUCCCCAGAACGCGGCCCGGGAAAGACGAUGAGCCCCUUGGCAGGGCUGCUGUCGACCAUUCCAAGCUUCCGGCUUCCCGAUCCAGCGGGGCCCUCACUGCCCAGAUGUGCAAGCUGCUGAUCAAGCCUGGCCUUGUUCCUGGCCCCAUAAGGGGCAGCGGAAUGGGAGGAGUAGAAUCCACCUUACACUUUCUACCUGACGCCUGGAUGCUAUGGUUUCCCGGCAUCUCCUGGUCAUCAGUAUGUUCCAAAGUGAGUGAAAACACAUUCAUGAGAUUAAAGAUGUUCCACUCAUCUCCACAAACCGAUCUAAUGCUGUAUUUUUGACAUCAACCACCAGACAUGCCCAAGAAAUCAGAUAUUUGAGCUUCACUCUGGCUUCCUUGUCCAAAAUAGAUCCUGACAAACUUAUUUCAAGAAACU